This 163-nucleotide ribosomal RNA is filed under the name Draba crassifolia. Its description in RNAcentral is "5.8S ribosomal RNA". The stretch from base 1 to 79 matches the Rfam family "5.8S ribosomal RNA", at positions 78 to 154 of the family's 154-position model. RNAcentral also lists the same sequence under 3 other names. The record is from RNAcentral. Lineage: Eukaryota; Viridiplantae; Streptophyta; Magnoliopsida; Brassicales; Brassicaceae.
AAUCCCGUGAACCAUCGAGUCUUUGAACGCAAGUUGCGCCCCAAGCCUUCAGGCCGAGGGCACGUCUGCCUGGGUGUCACAAAUCGUCGUCCCCAUCCUUUGCGGAUAAGGGACGGAAGUUGGUCUCCCGUGUGUUACCGCACGCGGUUGGCCUAAAUCUGAG